CAGCCGCCGCGGUAAAACGAAGGGUGCAAGCGUUACUCGGAAUUACUGGGCGUAAAGCGUGCGUAGGUGGUGGUUUAAGUCCGUUGUGAAAGCCCUGGGCUCAACCUGGGAAUUGCAGUGGAUACUGGAUCACUAGAGUGUGGUAGAGGAUAGUGGAAUUUCCGGUGUAGCAGUGAAAUGCGUAGAGAUCGGAAGGAACAUCUGUGGCGAAGGCGACUAUCUGGGCCAACACUGACACUGAGGCACGAAAGCGUGGGGAGCAAACAGGAUUAGAUACCCCCGUAGUCCCUGUCUCUUAUAC
RNAcentral lists this ribosomal RNA (301 nucleotides) under uncultured bacterium. RNAcentral's name for it is "partial 16S ribosomal RNA". It matches the Rfam family "Bacterial small subunit ribosomal RNA", at positions 509 to 807 of the family's 1533-position model. The record is from RNAcentral.